RNAcentral lists this ribosomal RNA (1845 nucleotides) under Escherichia coli. RNAcentral describes it as "bacterial LSU rRNA". It matches the Rfam family "Bacterial large subunit ribosomal RNA", at positions 398 to 2228 of the family's 2925-position model. The record is from RNAcentral. Lineage: Bacteria; Pseudomonadati; Pseudomonadota; Gammaproteobacteria; Enterobacterales; Enterobacteriaceae.
UGUGAGCUCGAUGAGUAGGGCGGGACACGUGGUAUCCUGUCUGAAUAUGGGGGGACCAUCCUCCAAGGCUAAAUACUCCUGACUGACCGAUAGUGAACCAGUACCGUGAGGGAAAGGCGAAAAGAACCCCGGCGAGGGGAGUGAAAAAGAACCUGAAACCGUGUACGUACAAGCAGUGGGAGCACGCUUAGGCGUGUGACUGCGUACCUUUUGUAUAAUGGGUCAGCGACUUAUAUUCUGUAGCAAGGUUAACCGAAUAGGGGAGCCGAAGGGAAACCGAGUCUUAACUGGGCGUUAAGUUGCAGGGUAUAGACCCGAAACCCGGUGAUCUAGCCAUGGGCAGGUUGAAGGUUGGGUAACACUAACUGGAGGACCGAACCGACUAAUGUUGAAAAAUUAGCGGAUGACUUGUGGCUGGGGGUGAAAGGCCAAUCAAACCGGGAGAUAGCUGGUUCUCCCCGAAAGCUAUUUAGGUAGCGCCUCGUGAAUUCAUCUCCGGGGGUAGAGCACUGUUUCGGCAAGGGGGUCAUCCCGACUUACCAACCCGAUGCAAACUGCGAAUACCGGAGAAUGUUAUCACGGGAGACACACGGCGGGUGCUAACGUCCGUCGUGAAGAGGGAAACAACCCAGACCGCCAGCUAAGGUCCCAAAGUCAUGGUUAAGUGGGAAACGAUGUGGGAAGGCCCAGACAGCCAGGAUGUUGGCUUAGAAGCAGCCAUCAUUUAAAGAAAGCGUAAUAGCUCACUGGUCGAGUCGGCCUGCGCGGAAGAUGUAACGGGGCUAAACCAUGCACCGAAGCUGCGGCAGCGACGCUUAUGCGUUGUUGGGUAGGGGAGCGUUCUGUAAGCCUGCGAAGGUGUGCUGUGAGGCAUGCUGGAGGUAUCAGAAGUGCGAAUGCUGACAUAAGUAACGAUAAAGCGGGUGAAAAGCCCGCUCGCCGGAAGACCAAGGGUUCCUGUCCAACGUUAAUCGGGGCAGGGUGAGUCGACCCCUAAGGCGAGGCCGAAAGGCGUAGUCGAUGGGAAACAGGUUAAUAUUCCUGUACUUGGUGUUACUGCGAAGGGGGGACGGAGAAGGCUAUGUUGGCCGGGCGACGGUUGUCCCGGUUUAAGCGUGUAGGCUGGUUUUCCAGGCAAAUCCGGAAAAUCAAGGCUGAGGCGUGAUGACGAGGCACUACGGUGCUGAAGCAACAAAUGCCCUGCUUCCAGGAAAAGCCUCUAAGCAUCAGGUAACAUCAAAUCGUACCCCAAACCGACACAGGUGGUCAGGUAGAGAAUACCAAGGCGCUUGAGAGAACUCGGGUGAAGGAACUAGGCAAAAUGGUGCCGUAACUUCGGGAGAAGGCACGCUGAUAUGUAGGUGAAGUCCCUCGCGGAUGGAGCUGAAAUCAGUCGAAGAUACCAGCUGGCUGCAACUGUUUAUUAAAAACACAGCACUGUGCAAACACGAAAGUGGACGUAUACGGUGUGACGCCUGCCCGGUGCCGGAAGGUUAAUUGAUGGGGUUAGCGCAAGCGAAGCUCUUGAUCGAAGCCCCGGUAAACGGCGGCCGUAACUAUAACGGUCCUAAGGUAGCGAAAUUCCUUGUCGGGUAAGUUCCGACCUGCACGAAUGGCGUAAUGAUGGCCAGGCUGUCUCCACCCGAGACUCAGUGAAAUUGAACUCGCUGUGAAGAUGCAGUGUACCCGCGGCAAGACGGAAAGACCCCGUGAACCUUUACUAUAGCUUGACACUGAACAUUGAGCCUUGAUGUGUAGGAUAGGUGGGAGGCUUUGAAGUGUGGACGCCAGUCUGCAUGGAGCCGACCUUGAAAUACCACCCUUUAAUGUUUGAUGUUCUAACGU